RNAcentral lists this ribosomal RNA (542 nucleotides) under Trametes mimetes. Its description in RNAcentral is "SSU rRNA". It matches the Rfam family "Bacterial small subunit ribosomal RNA", at positions 374 to 965 of the family's 1533-position model. Lineage: Eukaryota; Fungi; Basidiomycota; Agaricomycetes; Polyporales; Polyporaceae. The record is from RNAcentral.
UCGGACACGACUCGCUCGACGCCUCAUCGAAUUUCUUUACAUUCAUCGAUCAUCGUAAGGGAAAAUAAUGAUAAUACCUUACUAUGAGUGUCGUCCAAAUCUGGUGCCAGAAGACUCGGUAAGACCAGAGACGCAAACGUUAAUCAUCAUAAACAGGCGUAAAGGGUUUGUAGGCAGCUUUUAUAAAAUUGUCAAAGGUAAUUUAAUUGAAAGCUAGAAUCAAAAAGAGGUUAUAGUGUAUAACGCCUAGAGGAGGGCUGAUAUCCGUAGAUCCUAGGCAGAAUACUCAGGGCGAAGGCCACUCUCCACUAAUGAUUGACGCUGAGAAACGAAGGUUAGGGUAGGAAAUAGGAUUAGAUACCCCGGUACUCCUUUCUGUAAACGAUGAAUGGUAGUCAUUAGUUUAAUUAAAAUAACUAGAGGCGAAGUUAACACAAUAACCAUUCCGCCUUGUGAGUACUACUGCAAAGUAGAAAACAAAAAAAUUAGUCGGUCUCGAAGCAAACGGAGUGAAGCAUGUUAUUUAAUUCGAUUAAUCCGCA